AGUAAGUGCCUGAAUUUAAAGGAUUACCUUGAUAGGGUAAAUAAAGUAAUUAUAAAUUACCUUACUU
Molecule: transfer RNA, 67 nt
Filed under: Pseudoglomeris montshadskii
Lineage: Eukaryota; Metazoa; Arthropoda; Insecta; Blattodea; Blaberidae
Description: tRNA-Ile
Source: RNAcentral